RNAcentral lists this ribosomal RNA (252 nucleotides) under uncultured Gardnerella sp. Its description in RNAcentral is "partial 16S ribosomal RNA". It matches the Rfam family "Bacterial small subunit ribosomal RNA", at positions 100 to 354 of the family's 1533-position model. Lineage: Bacteria; Bacillati; Actinomycetota; Actinomycetes; Bifidobacteriales; Bifidobacteriaceae. The record is from RNAcentral.
GGGUAGAGUAAUGCGUGACCAACCUGCCCCAUGCUCCAGAAUAGCUCUUGGAAACGGGUGGUAAUGCUGGAUGCUCCAACUUGACGCAUGUCUUGUUGGGAAAGUGUUUAGUGGCAUGGGAUGGGGUCGCGUCCUAUCAGCUUGUAGGCGGGGUAAUGGCCCACCUAGGCUUCGACGGGUAGCCGGCCUGAGAGGGCGGACGGCCACAUUGGGACUGAGAUACGGCCCAGACUCCUACGGGAGGCAGCAGNU